RNAcentral lists this transfer RNA (76 nucleotides) under Rickettsia sp. RNAcentral's name for it is "tRNA-Trp". It matches the Rfam family "tRNA". Rfam says of the family: Transfer RNA (tRNA) molecules are approximately 80 nucleotides in length. Lineage: Bacteria; Pseudomonadati; Pseudomonadota; Alphaproteobacteria; Rickettsiales; Rickettsiaceae. The record is from RNAcentral.
AGGAAAGUAGCUCAAUUGGUAGAGUGUCGGUCUCCAAAACCGAAGGUUGCAGGUUCGAGUCCUGUCUUUCUUGCCA